Long non-coding RNA from Alosa alosa (allis shad), 1305 nucleotides. RefSeq lists it as uncharacterized. The transcript has 4 exons. Lineage: Eukaryota; Metazoa; Chordata; Actinopteri; Clupeiformes; Clupeidae. The record is from RefSeq and is a predicted model, not a curated record.
UCACAAAAGCAACCACAAAAGAGAACACAAGAGAGUCACCAUUAACCUGCCGGCAUUGAAUGUUAAUGUGAAUGUUAAUGCCUCUUGAACUUGAUGCAGAUUUUAAACAGCCUGCGUGGUGCUCUAGACGAUUUCCCACACCCGUCAGCCUUGAUGGGCAAUCAUCUGGCUACCGUGCUGGUUGGCUGGUGUGGUGAUUGUAGCUCGGAUAAGAGGCAGGGAGCGGCGGGACUGUGCAGGUGGAGUAGGGGAGAAAGCGAAGUCCUGCUGCCUGCUGCCUGCUGACCGCUGUUUGCUGACCGCUGCCUGUGCCGACCGCUGCUUGCUGACUGUGGCUGCCGACGAGGACGUUGAGCCGCUGUGGGCUAUCUACGCUAGACGAUCGCCACAGUAAAGGGAAGAGCUAUUUGUAUUCUUUGGUUAUUUCACAUGUCCAUGUAGCUCACGAUGGUGUUGGAAUUCCAGGCGGGUGCUGCCGGACGACGAGAUGGAGCCUGAUCCGGAGGAGAGCCGCAGUUGAGUGACAACGCUAACUUGGAGUGCAUCAAAAGGGACGGUGAUAUUCCAACUCUGCAUCGUUGUGCGAGUGAGCGUCGCUGACACUGCUGGCUAGAGUGGUCUAAUGGCCUGUGUUUUGUCAACAGUUUCAGCCGGGACUCAGUGCUGCUUCUGCUUCCGUGGUUGACGACUCCACUGGCGUGCUGACGUGAACAUCGUGCCGCCGUGACGUCACCUUCAAGAACUAGGCUCACUGCCGAUCCGAUAGCGGACUACAUUUCCCAGAGGCCCCGGCCUGUGGCACUUACCUCGAUCUUCUGCAAAUGUAUGGAGAGAGGGAGAGAGUCUGGACCCACUCCAGUUUGCAUGUAUGGCAAAAGACGGAGCUGAGGAUGCCAGUCUAAAUCUUCUGGACACAGUGGCUGGCUAAAGGCAUCUUGAUGCUCCAAACUAGUGGCCUACGUCAGGAUUUUAUUCAUGGAUUGUUCACCAGCUUUUAACACACACAAUGGAAUGUCCCUUUUCAAAUAUGCUGAUGAAAUUGCCUUGGUGGCCCAUCUGACAGAGCAAUCCCUGUCCAUAUAAAGGCAUGUGGUCCUUUGGUUCAAGGAGAGCUCCCUGCAAUUGAACAUCAGCAAAACCAAAUAGCCUGGUUGUGGGGCAAGCUGAACACCUGACCUCCCACACCCUCUCUCAAAACCACUCAGGCUGGAAGGGCAGAUGCUACAGGUCAAGACCUCUAAAUCCCUUAGCACAGAAAUCGACUGCAAUCUGUCCUUCACACAACAUGCUGAUGGAACUAUAGAA